Molecule: unclassified non-coding RNA, 345 nt
Filed under: soil metagenome
Description: partial contains 5.8S ribosomal RNA, internal transcribed spacer 2, and large subunit ribosomal RNA
Rfam family: 5.8S ribosomal RNA (bases 1-120)
Source: RNAcentral
GAUGAAGAACGCAGCGAAUUGCGAUAUGUAAUGUGAAUUGCAGAAUUCAGUGAAUCAUCGAGUCUUUGAACGCACAUUGCGCCCCCUGGUAUUCCGGGGGGCAUGCCUGUCCGAGCGUCAUUGCUGCCCUCAAGCACGGCUUGUGUGUUGGGCCUCCGUCCUCCUCCCGGGGGACGGGCCCGAAAGGCAGCGGCGGCACCGCGUCCGGUCCUCGAGCGUAUGGGGCUUCGUCACCCGCUCUUGUAGGCCCGGCCGGCGCUUGCCGACACAUCAAUCUUUUUUCCAGGUUGACCUCGGAUCAGGUGGGGAUACCCGCUGAACUUAAGCAUAUCAAUAAGCGGAGGA